Molecule: ribosomal RNA, 370 nt
Filed under: uncultured Azospira sp.
Lineage: Bacteria; Pseudomonadati; Pseudomonadota; Betaproteobacteria; Rhodocyclales; Rhodocyclaceae
Description: bacterial SSU rRNA
Rfam family: Bacterial small subunit ribosomal RNA
Source: RNAcentral
UCAGUUCGGCUGGACAGGUGACAGGUGCUGCAUGGCUGUCGUCAGCUCGUGUCGUGAGAUGUUGGGUUAAGUCCCGCAACGAGCGCAACCCUUGUCCUUAGUUGCCACCAUUCAGUUGGGCACUCUAAGGAGACUGCCGGGUGUUUAAACCGGAGGAAGGUGGGGAUGACGUCAAGUCCUCAUGGCCCUUAUAUCCAGGGCUACACACACGCUACAAUGGUCGGCACAAUAGGUUGCCAAGUCGUGAGACGGAGCCAAUCCUCCAAAGCCGGCCUCAGUUCAGAUUGCAGGCUGCAACUCGCCUGCAUGAAGUUGGAGUUGCUAGUAAACGCAGGUCAGCUAUACUGCGUUGAAUACGUUCCCGGGGAUU